This 274-nucleotide ribosomal RNA is filed under the name uncultured bacterium. RNAcentral's name for it is "partial 16S ribosomal RNA". It matches the Rfam family "Bacterial small subunit ribosomal RNA", at positions 523 to 796 of the family's 1533-position model. The record is from RNAcentral.
AUACAGAGGGUGCGAGCGUUAAUCGGGAUUACUGGGCGUAAAGCGCGCGUAGGCGGCUUAUUAAGUCAGAUGUGAAAUCCCCGGGCUCAACCUGGGAACUGCAUCUGAUACUGGUAAGCUAGAGUUUUGGAGAGGGAAGUAGAAUUUCAGGUGUAGCGGUGAAAUGCAUAGAGAUCUGAAGGAAUACCAGUGGCGAAGGCGACUUCCUGGCCAAAAACUGACGCUGAGGUGCGAAAGCGUGGGUAGCAAACGGGAUUAGAUACCCGGGUAGUCC